GACGAACGCUGGCGGCGUGCUUAACACAUGCAAGUCGAACGAUGACGACCGAGCUUGCUCGGUCUGAUUAGUGGCGAACGGGUGAGUAACACGUGAGCAACCUGCCCUUCACUCUGGGAUAACCUCGGGAAAUCGGGGCUAAUACCGGAUAUGAGCUCCUGUCGCAUGGCGGGUGUUGGAAAGUUUUUCGGUGAAGGAUGGGCUCGCGGCCUAUCAGUUUGUUGGUGAGGUAGUGGCUCACCAAGGCGAUGACGGGUAGCCGGCCUGGGAGGGCGACCGGCCACACUGGGACUGAGACACGGCCCAGACUCCUACGGGAGGCAGCAGUGGGGAAUAUUGCACAAUGGGCGAAAGCCUGAUGCAGCGACGCCGCGUGAGGGAUGACGGCCUUCGGGUUGUAAACCUCUUUCAGCAGGGAAGAAGCGAAAGUGACGGUACCUGCAGAAGAAGCGCCGGCUAACUACGU
This 466-nucleotide ribosomal RNA is filed under the name uncultured bacterium. RNAcentral's name for it is "partial 16S ribosomal RNA". It matches the Rfam family "Bacterial small subunit ribosomal RNA", at positions 28 to 506 of the family's 1533-position model. The record is from RNAcentral.